Molecule: ribosomal RNA, 254 nt
Filed under: uncultured bacterium
Lineage: Bacteria
Description: partial 16S ribosomal RNA
Rfam family: Bacterial small subunit ribosomal RNA
Source: RNAcentral
UACGGGGGGAGCAAGCGUUGUUCGGAUUUACUGGGCGUAAAGGGCGCGUAGGCGGCCACCGCAAGUCAAUUGUGAAAUCUCCGGGCGUAACUCGGAAAGGUCAACUGAUACUGCGGGGCUAGAGUGCGGAAGGGGCAACUGGAAUUCUCGGUGUAGCGGUGAAAUGCGUAGAUAUCGAGAGGAACACCUGCGGCGAAGGCGGGUUGCUGGGCCGACACUGACGCUGAGGCGCGAAAGCCAGGGGAGCGAACGGG